AGUGAAUGCUGGCGGUAGGCCAAACACAUGCAAGUCGAACGGCAGCACAGGAGAGCUUGCUCUCUGGGUGGCGAGUGGCGGACGGGUGAGGAAUACAUCGGAAUCUACUUUUUCGUGGGGGAUAACGUAGGGAAACUUACGCUAAUACCGCAUACGACCUACGGGUGAAAGCAGGGGACCUUCGGGCCUUGCGCGAUUGAAUGAGCCGAUGUCGGAUUAGCUAGUUGGCGGGGUAAAGGCCCACCAAGGCGACGAUCCGUAGCUGGUCUGAGAGGAUAAUCAGCAACACUGGAACUGAGACACGGUCCAGACUCCUACGGGAGGCAGCAGUGGGGAAUAUUGGACAAUGGGCGCAAGCCUGAUCCAGCCAUACCGCGUGGGUGAAGAAGGCCUUCGGGUUGUAAAGCCCUUUUGUUGGGAAAGGAAUCCAGCUGGCUAAUACCCGGUUGGGAUGACGGUACCCAAAGAAUAAGCACCGGCUAACUUCGUGCCAGCCGCCGCCGUAA
RNAcentral lists this ribosomal RNA (506 nucleotides) under uncultured bacterium. RNAcentral's name for it is "partial 16S ribosomal RNA". It matches the Rfam family "Bacterial small subunit ribosomal RNA", at positions 29 to 523 of the family's 1533-position model. The record is from RNAcentral.